Long non-coding RNA from Limulus polyphemus (Atlantic horseshoe crab), 102 nucleotides. RefSeq lists it as uncharacterized. The transcript has 3 exons. The record is from RefSeq and is a predicted model, not a curated record. Lineage: Eukaryota; Metazoa; Arthropoda; Merostomata; Xiphosura; Limulidae.
GUGAAAUGUUGCCAUCCAGGGGUUUGCCAUUGAUGGCGAGUAUUUCAUCUCCAUCUUGAAGUUUGCCAUCUCUGAAAAUACAAAUUAGCUUGUAAAAUAUCG